Helicoverpa armigera (cotton bollworm) is the source of this 1903-nucleotide long non-coding RNA. RefSeq lists it as uncharacterized. NCBI's taxonomy places the organism in Eukaryota, Metazoa, Arthropoda, Insecta, Lepidoptera, Noctuidae. The transcript has 3 exons. The record is from RefSeq and is a predicted model, not a curated record.
AAGACCUUUAAGUCAAGUCUUAUUUUACACGUUAAAACUUUAUCACUUCACUUCACGACACUUUUAAAUUGUUUUGAUAGUAUUUUUAAUGUAUUUAUAUAUGGCUUUAUAAGUGUUUUUGUCUUUUAAUAACUGUUCAAGUGGCGGCGGGCGGGAUGAAGAAUCAAACUUAAUUUUCAGUUCACACAGUUCACUAGCCAACACUAAUCUGUCAAGUAAGAAGGUUUGACAGUUAAAAAUAAGAUGCUCCAUCAUGCUCCAUGGUUCCUUCUUGUGAUUCACAAUGGGGGCACGUAUUACUUGUAAUAAUCCCAAGUCUAGCAAGGUGUGACGGUGCAGUAUUAUGGCCAAAGCGCAAUCUAUUUAACGUAGUGAUAAAGUCUCGGCUGGCUUCUUUCAGUCUAUUGUACCAGGGUCUAACAGGAAAUCAGUCAUCGGGAUUUCCAUUGCAUUUCUAACAUCAACAGCAUUAUUACCAUCAUAUGCGGUUUUAUCAACUAUUUCAUUGCCAGAGAUGCCUCGGUGAGAUGGUACCCACAGGAACGCAAUUUCGAUAUGCUUAAGCAAUAUUUUGGAUAAUGUUGGGGAAUUGCCACUCAAGAGAUCCUCUCCUGUUGUUAGUCUACCAGAAUUAGUAUUUACAAAAGGUACAAUUUUAUUUUUUAUUUUCUUGUUAUUUGCAGCAAUUAGCUUAAGACAGAAUCUCCCUGCAAGUAGAAUACGUCUCAAAAUUAAGGGCAUCAAUUUAGUCUCUACUUCCAUGGCCCUUAUGGGAGUAGAGCACAUUGCACCAGAAAUUGUUCUCAAAGCUCUGUUCUGCAAGAGAUCUAAUUUAUUUACAUGAGUACUAUUUAUAUACACUAGAGAACUAUAAUCGAAAUGACUCCUAACUAUACUUUUGUACAAAAUUGACAAUAUUUUCGGGUCUGCCCCCCAUGAAACACCUGCGAGACAUUUCAUUAUGUUUAAGCCUUUUAGAGCAUUCUUUGAUAUGUAUUUAAUAUGUUCCUCGAAAGUUAAUUUUCUGUCGAUUACUAUGCCUAAAAAUUUCUUUGAAUUUACUGUGUUUAUAAUUUCUCCAUUAUAAAUUACUUUUGAAUUUGUAUUUUCAUUUCCAAAUAUCAUGACACUGCUUUUGGAGGGGUUAAUUUUUAAAUGCAAUACAUCAUUAUAGUAGUGGAAUAGUUCAGACAGGGCUUUGUUAAUAUUGUCAAUCGCAAUUUCUACAUUAUAAUUACUAGUGUACAGAACAAUAUCAUCUGCAAACUGCAGAAUUUCUACAUUACUAUUUACAAAUUUACAUAUUUCACUUGUGUAUAUAUUAUAUAGCAAAGGAGACAGUGUAGCACCCUGCAUAGUACCUCUAGAUGUAGAUUUUGGACCAUACAAUGUAUUAUUGUGCCUUACAUAGACUGUUCUAUUUUUUAAGAAGUUAAAUAUCCAUUUACACAGCUGACCAGGCACGCCCAACCUAGACAUAACUUCUACAAGUAUAGUCGGAUCUAAACUGUCAAAUGCACCUUGAACAUCUAGAAAUACACAAACAGUGUUUAACUUUCUAUCUUUUGCAUGUUUCAGGUCAAAGAUUAAAGAAGUGAAGCUGUCAGCACAACUUCGUCCUCGACGAAAUCCAUAUUGAACAUGUGGAAUGAUGCUGUUAGAUUCCAUAUACCAAUCUAAACGAUUUUUGAUCAUGUUUUCAAAUAUUUUUCCUAGACAUGAGGAGAGUGAUAUUGGUCUAUAAGAGCUGGCCAACUUUGCUGGUUUAUCUGGUUUGAGUAUUGGAAUGACACAUUGUGUUUUCCAUGACUGUGGAAUACGUUUACAAUGCCAAAGGAGAUUAAGAACAUUAAGAAAUAUUUUUUGCGCAGAUUCAUCUAAAUUUUAAUAAUACAAUAUGGAA